GAUAAGCGCCGCCCCCUCUCAUCUCUUUAACUUCCACCAUAAUAUUCACCCUUCCUUGCUUCAAUCACAAUCACCGCCACCUUCAUCUCUCCCUCUCAACCUCUCUCUCUUUCUCUCUCUCACCUAACUCGUAAAUCAAAUCUGAAAUCAAAACCCUAAUCUCUAAAUACAAAACCCCAAUCUCUAAAAACACCACUUGGAUGUCUUCGUGUUUGUUUGUGGUCCUCUGAUUCUUUUAUUUUAUUCCUUAUUUUCUCUUUGAUGCUUAUGAUAUCUUUACCUUUAUCCUUGAUAGGUUACAAAUGGUUGCUUUUAUCUUCUCUGGAUACUUGUUAUUGAUAUUGGUGGUCUUGCCUUCCUUUUGGGUGUUGCGGUGAUGAACUGAUUUGAAGCGAUGAGAGGGGGUGAUUCAACUACUUGAAUGAAAUGAAGACAUCAUAUGGCAGUUACAAGUGAGUGUGAAAGGCUUUGGUCAAUAUUUAGUAGAAAAGAUCAGGCGCUGCAGGUUAUAGAGAACGAUUCCAAAAAGGAUCUUGUUGAAACAAAUAACCAA
This is a long non-coding RNA of Vicia villosa (hairy vetch), 553 nucleotides long. RefSeq lists it as uncharacterized. The record is from RefSeq and is a predicted model, not a curated record. Lineage: Eukaryota; Viridiplantae; Streptophyta; Magnoliopsida; Fabales; Fabaceae. The transcript is spliced from 4 exons.